This 524-nucleotide ribosomal RNA is filed under the name uncultured bacterium. Its description in RNAcentral is "bacterial SSU rRNA". It matches the Rfam family "Bacterial small subunit ribosomal RNA", at positions 791 to 1317 of the family's 1533-position model. The record is from RNAcentral.
UAGUCCACGCCCUAAACGAUGUUUACUUGAUAUUUGGACUUCGGUCUGAGUGUCCAAGGGAAACCGAUAAGUAAACCACCUGGGGAGUACGUUCGCAAGAAUGAAACUCAAAGGAAUUGACGGGGGCCCGCACAAGCGGUGGAGCAUGUGGUUUAAUUCGAUGCAACGCGAAGAACCUUACCUACCCUUGACAUCCUCAGAACUUGUUAGAGAUAACUUGGUGCCUUCGGGAAUUGAGUGACAGGUGCUGCAUGGCUGUCGUCAGCUCGUGUCGUGAGAUGUUGGGUUAAGUCCCGCAACGAGCGCAACCCUUGUCCCUAGUUGCCAGCACUUCGGGUGGAACUCUAGGGAGACUGCCGGUGACAAACCGGAGGAAGGUGGGGAUGACGUCAAGUCCUCAUGGCCCUUACGGGGUUGGGGCUACACACGUACUACAAUGGCGGUGACAAUGGGGCAGCGAGAUCGCGAGGUCGAGCCAAUCCCAAAAAACCGUCUCAGUUCGGAUUGCACGCUGCAACUCGCGU